This is an RNA transcript of Dromaius novaehollandiae (emu), 3226 nucleotides long. It is a transcript of the gene named MANSC domain containing 4, with no coding region annotated. Lineage: Eukaryota; Metazoa; Chordata; Aves; Casuariiformes; Dromaiidae. The record is from RefSeq and is a predicted model, not a curated record. The transcript has 4 exons.
AUGCUUGUCCAAACCUCAGUGCAUCUGUGGAGGAGCAAGCGCAGUGACGAAGCCCGUUACAGCGAAGAGAUGGUUCUGCUGCUGGCACUAGCAGAAGUGCUCUUCGUUCUGGGUUUGGCCAUGGACUCAGACUCCCUCUGCUCACCCACUACUUUUUACAAAAACUGCUGGAUCCGACGCUUCCCAGGUCUUCUGAUCGACCUGCAGGAAUCACAGCGGAGGGGAGCCCAGGUGCUGAAGAUUUAUUCAGAAGUCUCAUCCCAACAAUGCAGCAGAACCUGCUGCCUGAUGAAGAAUGUGUCCUGCAAUCUAGCAGUGUUCUACCAUGGAGCUCCUCAUGAGAACAUGAACUGCCUGCACUUGUCUUGCCCAGCAUUGGAAAGCUGCAUACUAAAGGCUAGAAUCAACACCAUUUUGUACAACAUCACAAGAGGGAUUGACCCAGAUCUUCUUAUUUUUGAGAAACUGACACCAAGAGAGCCAAAUACUCACUCCUCACUGAACAAAUAUGAAAGGCAAAACAGCACAAAGAUGACUGAGCCGGAAAGAUGCCAGCAAAAUGAUGUCACAUCAAGUUCUCUUCUACGCCAAGCUCCAUCUUCUACCACUAGCCACGGCUUAACAGCAGACAGUUACACCUUCAGCACAAGCCUAAGGGUCCAAAAAAUUGAAGUUACCACUUUGUCCAGGCCAGAAACUUUUCUACUAGAUGAUCAUUUUGCUAAGAAGACCAGCACGACUUCAGUAAGCAGUGGGUCUCUCACCAGUUCAGACCAAAGGACUGUACAUUCAACUCUGAUAUCUAAAUCCUCCGAAACGUUAUCCCACGUGCCCACUCCUUCUCGUCUGAACAGCAGUAAGCAAUACUUUAAUGAUACCAAAGGCUACAGCGGUAGGAACUAUACUUCAGAUAAUGAGGCACCUGCUUGGGAAGCUGUAGCUUUGGGUGUCUGGUUGAUUCCGGUUGUUCUUUGCUCUUCUCUUAUCUUCCUUUGCUGUUGUACUGUUGCUCUUGCAGCAGGGUGUUGCAGAAAGAGAAGAGGUGAGUAUAAGCCCAUAAAGAGAGGAAGAACAGUGUAUAGGCAGUUCAUAAAAUAUACUACUGUCAAAAGUAGUUUGUAAAAUACUGUCACCAUCCUUGUUUUGGAACAAACAGUUUUUUAAAAAUGAAUUGUAUAUAACAGCUUAUUUCUUACAUGUUUCUUUUACAGAACAAAAGAUAAUUUUUACUCACAGUUUCAGCAUCUUUUGGUUGCAGUUUCCUUCUCAUGAGAUAAAACACAGUUUCCUUGUCUCUUCAGGGAAGUGGUACACAUUCCACAGCUCCCACUGCAUGUUCGGAGGUUUCUGAGCACAUUUGGGUUUAUAAUCUGACCCAGACUAAUGCCUAACAAACAGUAUAUACUUACUAUAAUUUAAGAGAGCAGGUUCACUGCAGCUUUACAUAUCCUUUCCCUCACACUGACUAACCUGAGAAAAUGAAGUAUAUAUGCAAUCAGUAAAACUGAUUGAAGUUUCACAGUAUCAUAAGAGAGUCAUUCAAUUAUAACCAUCCUUUAACUGCCUCAGAUCUAGUUGUUUCUAUAAAAACCCUGUUUAUAUUCUCCAAUUAAAAUCUACAGACAGGGUGCUUUUCCCCCUUUCAUCUCCAAUAUUGAGACCAAACAAUUCAAUUCAGCCAGCACUUUUUACUUCUUUGAAAAACAACAAAAAACCCUAAAUCCUCAAAACUACUAAAUCCCAUUAACUCAUACCCAAAUAUCUGAUUAUUCAAACUUUAAGCUUUAUUUUCCUCACUUCUUUCUUCACUCUUCUAAUAUCACUUCAAACGUUUCCUAAGUCAUCCCAGAAACACCUUCAGACUUUUACUGUUUUUGUAAACUUGAUCUGUUACGCAUUCAAAAAUCCACUUGGUUAUUGGCUAAGUAAGGGAUAAAUGUGGCUGACUAAGAGCUGUUCAUAUAUUGCUAUUAGUGUCAACCUAGGUUGUUCACUUGCUUUUUCUUGUCUACUUGUAUUUAUUGUUUACAUCAUUAGCUCUUUAAAAUAGGGACAUUUGUUAAAUAUAUGUUGCAUAGCAAUACAGCAUAAAAGGCUUUGGAAGUUCUAGGAGGUAGCAUUAGAAUAAAACAGCUUUUUUGGUUCCUAAUCCUGUAUACUACAUUUAUAAAAGUCCUCCUCCUAAAUACAAAUCAAGUGACUAGAUCAACAGGGUAGCAAGCUAUUUCCUUGCCUUACCAUACUUAGGAAGUUUGUUUAGCAAAGCAAAUAUUUUCAGCAGUAACCAGGACUGUUCUUCAUCUUUUAAACUUGUUGAUGUUUCAGAGCUCCUCACUUCUUCACUUAUUGUAAGGAGUUUCUUUAUUUUCUAGAGAAGUUUAAACGAUGCAAAAAGAAAGAAAGAAAAACGAAAUCGAUAGUCACAUGUCUAUGCAGAAAAUUAUUUUAAAACUAAUACGAUUUAUGGAAUGUUCAAAAACUAGAGUGAUGAGGUUAUAAGGCCACAUGAAUACCUAAUCAGAGUUGAGUAGGUCAUUCUGAAAGAAAAAGACCUCCUUAUAAUUAUGUUUUAGUACACAUUGAUCAGCACUGUAGCUUAGGAAACUGAAGUUUAAAGAACCUGUUAACAGUCUUCAGUUGAACUUCUAUGCUAAUUUAUAUGCAAUAGACGAAAGAUAGACACAGGGAUAAAAAGAACAUUUUAAACUUUUCUAAAGGAGGGGUAUUUUUAAUCAUUUGAAAUAACACAAAAGCAGUUUCUUCCAAUUAAGCUUUAAAAAGUUAGAAAUAAGUAUGGUUUGUUUUUAAGGGCAGUUCUAUGCUUAUAUGUAAAGCGAUGAAUCGUUAGAAAUGUAUGCAUGGCAAAAUGUACCUCAGAUUUGACCAACCUGAUCUUUAUCAUCAAAUCGCGCUUUUCUAAUUCAUCAUGUGGCUGGAUCUAGGACAUCAUCUUUGUUAAAUUAUCACUAAAGACAUUCACAAUGAAAACUUCAGUUAAGAAUGAUGAGACCCCAACGGUUCUUCAGUGUUAGAGGAAGCUGACGUACAGUCUUUUCGAGGAAGAGGAACUAGGUUUUAAAGAAAAGGGACUGAACGACAUCUCUUUCUACCUGCCCCACAUAAGAAAUAAGUAAGAAGAUUUGCAGAACUGUGUAACAAUGUGAAGUGACAGUGCUGAAACACAGUGCCCUUUAUACAUUAAUUUAUUAUACUGAAAAGAAAUAUA